Molecule: ribosomal RNA, 253 nt
Filed under: uncultured bacterium
Lineage: Bacteria
Description: partial 16S ribosomal RNA
Rfam family: Bacterial small subunit ribosomal RNA
Source: RNAcentral
UACGUAGGCAGCAAGCGUUGUUCGGAGUUACUGGGCGUAAAGGGUGUGUAGGCGGUUGUUUAAGUUUGGUGUGAAAUCUCCCGGCUCAACUGGGAGGGUGCGCCGAAUACUGAAUGACUAGAGUGCGGGAGAGGAAAGUGGAAUUCCUGGUGUAGCGGUGAAAUGCGUAGAUAUCAGGAGGAACACCGGUGGUGUAGACGGCUUUCUGGACCGUAACUGACGCUGAGGCACGAAAGCGUGGGUAGCAAACAGG